AUAAAGUCCAACACUUACUUGUGGCGCCCAGAUUUCUUUGUCCUUGAAACUCCAACAAAACCCAGGAGAAGAGGCCAAAUCCUGAUCCCAAAAGGGAAAAAAGGAGGGAAAACGAGCACCUGCCCUUUUCCACUCUGGGAGCUGUUGAGCACCUGCACAAUUAAAGCUUCAUUAAACCCAACUUUUUUAAUUGCCUCUGGGUCGUUGGAGCAGGAAAAACAGCUGGAAAAAAGCCUUGGACAUGGGAUGAGCAGAUCCAGAGAAUUCCCGGGAAAAGCGCGGGAAAAGCUCCAUGCCCUGGGCCAAAAUCCUGGGAUUUACUGAGCCAGAGGCAAUUAGUGACCUGUUUUUUCCCAGGGAUUCAGGAGGAUUCACCUGUUCCUGGGAAUUAUUGGAAAAUUGAGCUCCCUGUUCAACUCCUCUGGACUCUCUUUGCCUUCUACUCCCCCCAGUGGCCACAGC
Long non-coding RNA from Melospiza melodia melodia, 462 nucleotides. RefSeq lists it as uncharacterized. The transcript has 3 exons. The record is from RefSeq and is a predicted model, not a curated record. Lineage: Eukaryota; Metazoa; Chordata; Aves; Passeriformes; Passerellidae.